RNAcentral lists this ribosomal RNA (402 nucleotides) under uncultured bacterium. RNAcentral's name for it is "bacterial SSU rRNA". It matches the Rfam family "Bacterial small subunit ribosomal RNA", at positions 355 to 775 of the family's 1533-position model. The record is from RNAcentral.
UAGGGAAUAUUAGAAAUGGACGAAAGUCUGAUCUAGCAACACCGCGUGUGCGAAGAAGGCCUUUGGGUCGUAAAGCACUUUUUGGAAGGAAUAGGAAGGAAUGUACUUCCAGAAUAAGUCUCGGCUAACUACGUGCCAGCAGCCGCGGUAACACGUAGGAGGCAAACGUUAUCCGGAUUUACUGGGCGUAAAGCGCGUGUAGGUGGUACUGUAAGUAGGGCGUGAAAGCUCCUGGCUCAACUGGGAGAGGCCGUUCUAAACUACAGAACUAGAGGAUGGUAGAGGGAGGUGGAAUUCCAGGUGUAGCGGUGGAAUGAGCAGAUAUCUGGAGGAACACCGGUGGCGAAGGCGGCCUCCUGGACCAUCCUGACACUCAGACGCGAAAGCUAGGGUAGCAAACGG